CCGGUAAACGGCGGCCGUAACUAUAACGGUCCUAAGGUAGCGAAAUUCCUUGUCGGGUAAGUUCCGACCUGCACGAAUGGCGUAAUGAUGGCCAGGCUGUCUCCACCCGAGACUCAGUGAAAUUGAACUCGCUGUGAAGAUGCAGUGUACCCGCGGCAAGACGGAAAGACCCCGUGAACCUUUACUAUAGCUUGACACUGAACAUUGAGCCUUGAUGUGUAGGAUAGGUGGGAGGCUUAGAAGUGUGGACGCCAGUCUGCAUGGAGCCGACCUUGAAAUACCACCCUUUAAUGUUUGAUGUUCUAACGUUGACCCGUAAUCCGGGUUGCGGACAGUGUCUGGUGGGUAGUUUGACUGGGGCGGUCUCCUCCUAAAGAGUAACGGAGGAGCACGAAGGUUGGCUAAUCCUGGUCGGACAUCAGGAGGUUAGUGCAAUGGCAUAAGCCAGCUUGACUGCGAGCGUGACGGCGCGAGCAGGUGCGAAAGCAGGUCAUAGUGAUCCGGUGGUUCUGAAUGGAAGGGCCAUCGCUCAACGGAUAAAAGGUACUCCGGGGAUAACAGGCUGAUACCGCCCAAGAGUUCAUAUCGACGGCGGUGUUUGGCACCUCGAUGUCGGCUCAUCACAUCCUGGGGCUGAAGUAGGUCCCAAGGGUAUGGCUGUUCGCCAUUUAAAGUGGUACGCGAGCUGGGUUUAGAACGUCGUGAGACAGUUCGGUCCCUAUCUGCCGUGGGCGCUGGAGAACUGAGGGGGGCUGCUCCUAGUACGAGAGGACCGGAGUGGACGCAUCACUGGUGUUCGGGUUGUCAUGCCAAUGGCACUGCCCGGUAGCUAAAUGCGGAAGAGAUAAGUGCUGAAAGCAUCUAAGCACGAAACUUGCCCCGAGAUGAGUUCUCCCUGACCCUUUAAGGGUCCUGAAGGAACGUUGAAGACGACGACGUUGAUAGGCCGGGUGUGUAAGCGCAGCGAUGCGUUGAGCUAACCGGUACUAAUGAACCGUGAGG
Molecule: ribosomal RNA, 1002 nt
Filed under: Escherichia coli
Lineage: Bacteria; Pseudomonadati; Pseudomonadota; Gammaproteobacteria; Enterobacterales; Enterobacteriaceae
Description: partial 23S ribosomal RNA
Rfam family: Bacterial large subunit ribosomal RNA
Source: RNAcentral